AUGGCUGAUACUACUGGAAGAAUUUCUCCUUGGGUAGUACGUACUGUAGCUGGUAUUCCUAUGAUCGUUUUAGUAGGUGUUUUCUUUUAUGUUUCAUAUUCUAGAUAGGGUUCGUCACUAUAG
This 123-nucleotide ribosomal RNA is filed under the name Triticum aestivum (bread wheat). RNAcentral's name for it is "partial small subunit ribosomal RNA". The record is from RNAcentral. Lineage: Eukaryota; Viridiplantae; Streptophyta; Magnoliopsida; Poales; Poaceae.